GGUCUAAACUUCAAAAUCUAAAA
This 23-nucleotide small nuclear RNA is filed under the name Arabidopsis thaliana (thale cress). RNAcentral's name for it is "snRNA_14344". The record is from RNAcentral. Lineage: Eukaryota; Viridiplantae; Streptophyta; Magnoliopsida; Brassicales; Brassicaceae.